This 292-nucleotide ribosomal RNA is filed under the name uncultured Bacteroidota bacterium. Its description in RNAcentral is "uncultured Bacteroidetes bacterium partial 16S ribosomal RNA". Lineage: Bacteria; Pseudomonadati; Bacteroidota. The record is from RNAcentral.
GGACUACCGGGGUAUCUAAUCCUGUUUGAUCCCCACGCUUUCGUGCCUCAGCGUCAUUGACACCAUAGUAAGCUGCCUUCGCAAUCGGUGUUCUGAGACAUAUCUAUGCAUUUCACCGCUACUUGUCUCAUUCCGCCUACCUCUAGUGUAAUCAAGCUCAUCAGUAUCAAAGGCACUGCGAUAGUUAAGCUACCGUCUUUCACCUCUGACUUAAUAAGCCGCCUACGCACCCUUUAAACCCAAUAAAUCCGGAUAACGCUUGGAUCCUCCGUAUUACCGCGGCUGCUGGCAC